CAGCAGCAGCCACGGUAAUACGUAGGUGGCAAGCGUUAUCCGGAAUUAUUGGGCGUAAAGCGCGCGUAGGCGGUUUUUUAAGUCUGAUGUGAAAGCCCACGGCUCAACCGUGGAGGGUCAUUGGAAACUGGAAAACUUGAGUGCAGAAGAGGAAAGUGGAAUUCCAUGUGUAGCGGUGAAAUGCGCAGAGAUAUGGAGGAACACCAGUGGCGAAGGCGACUUUCUGGUCUGUAACUGACGCUGAUGUGCGAAAGCGUGGGGAUCAAACAGGAUUAGAUACCCCGGUAGUCCCUGUCUCUUAUAA
Molecule: ribosomal RNA, 304 nt
Filed under: uncultured bacterium
Lineage: Bacteria
Description: partial 16S ribosomal RNA
Rfam family: Bacterial small subunit ribosomal RNA
Source: RNAcentral